AUGGCGGACUUCGAUACCUACGACGAUCGGGCCUACAGCAGCUUCGGCGGUGGCAGAGGGUCCCGCGGCAGUGCUGGUGGCCAUGGUUCCCGUAGCCAGAAGGAGCUGCCCACAGAACCCCCCUACACAGCCUAUGUAGGAAACCUCCCUUUCAACACAGUUCAGGGUGACAUAGACGCUAUCUUUAAGGAUCUCAGCAUAAAGAGCGUACGGCUAGUCACAGACAAAGACACAGACAAGUUUAAAGGAUUCUGCUAUGUAGAAUUCGAUGAGGUUGACUCCCUGAAGGAAGCCCUGACCUACAAUGGUGCACUAUUGGGUGACCGGUCACUUCGUGUGGACAUUGCAGAAGGCAGAAAACAAGAUAAAGGUGGCUUUGGAUUCAGGAAAGGCGGACCAGAUGACAGAGGUUACAGGGAUGACUUCCUAGGAGGCCGAGGAGGCAGUCGCCCAGGGGACCGAUGAGCAGGCCCUCCCAUGGGGAGUUGCUUCCAAGAUGGACCCCCGCUGCGCGGCUCCAACAUGGACUUCCGAGAACCCACGGAAGAAGAAAGAGCACAGAGACCACGGCUCCAGCUCAAACCUCGGACAGUGGCAACACCCCUCAACCAAGUACCCAACCCCAACUCUGCCAUCUUUGGGGGAGCCAGGCCCAGAGAGGAAGUCGUGAACAAGGAGCAGGAAUGAGCACGCAGCGGGAAUGGGGUGUGGGGAGUUAGAGC
Octodon degus (degu) is the source of this 722-nucleotide RNA transcript. It is a transcript of the gene named eukaryotic translation initiation factor 4H pseudogene, with no coding region annotated. NCBI's taxonomy places the organism in Eukaryota, Metazoa, Chordata, Mammalia, Rodentia, Octodontidae. The transcript has a single exon. The record is from RefSeq and is a predicted model, not a curated record.